This 464-nucleotide ribosomal RNA is filed under the name uncultured bacterium. RNAcentral's name for it is "partial 16S ribosomal RNA". It matches the Rfam family "Bacterial small subunit ribosomal RNA", at positions 339 to 795 of the family's 1533-position model. The record is from RNAcentral.
CUACGGGUCGCUGCAGUGGGGAAUAUUGCACAAUGGGCGCAAGCCUGAUGCAGCCAUGCCGCGUGUAUGAAGAAGGCCUUCGGGUUGUAAAGUACUUUCAGCGGGGAGGAAGGGAGUAAAGUUAAUACCUUUGCUCAUUGACGUUACCCGCAGAAGAAGCACCGGCUAACUCCGUGCCAGCAGCCGCGGUAAUACGGAGGGUGCAGGCGUUAAUCGGAAUUACUGGGCGUAAAGCGCACGCAGGCGGUUUGUUAAGUCAGAUGUGAAAUCCCCGGGCUCAACCUGGGAACUGCAUCUGAUACUGGCAAGCUUGAGUCUCGUAGAGGGGGGUAGAAUUCCAGGUGUAGUGGUGAAAUGCGUAGAGAUCUGGAGGAAUACCGGUGGCGAAGGCGGCCCCCUGGACGAAGACUGACGCUCAGGUGCGAAAGCGUGGGGAGCAAACAGGAUUAGAUACCCGCGUAGUC